UGAUGUCACAGGGACAGCUGACACCCAAGGUGAAGGUCAGAUGGCAAGAUUUCUCACCCUGCGGGAAGGAGCAUGGCACAUGGGAGCUCCCUGUGGGCUCUCCUGGUCUCCACAUGUCUUGGCUUCAGCAUGGCCCAGACAGUCACUCAGACACAACCAGAAAUGUCUGUGCACGAGCCAGAGACAGUGACCCUGGACUGCACGUAUGACACGCGGGACAGCAAUUACUAUUUGUUUUGGUGCAAACAGCCUCCUGGCAGGGAGCUGAUUCUCAUUAUUCGCCAAGAAGCUCACAAGCCAGAGAAUGCCACGCAGAAUCGUUUCUCUGUGAACUUUCAGAAAGCAGCCAAAGCCUUUAGUCUCAAGAUCUCAGACUUGCAGCUGGAGGAUGCCGGGACGUAUCUCUGUGCUCUCAGGAGCUCACAGUGA
This is a non-coding RNA of Ochotona princeps (American pika), 429 nucleotides long. NCBI's taxonomy places the organism in Eukaryota, Metazoa, Chordata, Mammalia, Lagomorpha, Ochotonidae. The record is from the annotation of a RefSeq genome assembly.